Long non-coding RNA from Myotis davidii, 413 nucleotides. RefSeq lists it as uncharacterized. The record is from RefSeq and is a predicted model, not a curated record. NCBI's taxonomy places the organism in Eukaryota, Metazoa, Chordata, Mammalia, Chiroptera, Vespertilionidae. The transcript is spliced from 2 exons.
CUCGACCUCCUCCUCCCCCUUUCUGCCCUCCUCCUCCUCUUCUCCCUCCUCCUCCUCCUCCGCUCACCGUCACAGCCGGCACUUUGCGCUUACCCCGCGAGUAGCUGCACUUGGGUGCGAGGCAGAGAGGGGGCCAAUCAGUUCACGCCGAUCCAUGAAAAUGCUUUGGAAACUGACGGAUAAUAUCAAGUACGAGGACUGCGAGCAACAUUGCCUGUGCCCAAGACGAGGGAGAGGAGAGACCAGCAUGGGUUUUGGAAGCGAUUGCUGGCCAUGGGGCACGCGCCCGUGCGCUCCGCGUGCCUCUCUGGCGAGGUUCUGGGAGCCCAAGUCACCAGGAAGAGAAAGGAAAGAGAAAACCCUUUACCUUUUUUAACUUCCUCUCUGACCCUUCAUGUUUGUUUGCUUGUUUA